This 1021-nucleotide long non-coding RNA is filed under the name Gallus gallus (chicken). The record is from RNAcentral. Lineage: Eukaryota; Metazoa; Chordata; Aves; Galliformes; Phasianidae.
GCCACUUUAUAAAGCAAAUAAAAAUAUUUACUGAUUUGGUACACUCACAUGGAAAACCCCUAGAAAGAGUACUAAAAAUGAAUGGAAACUCCAUACAGGGCAGCUAUUUUAAAUUACAUAUCAAAACAGACAGAAACACCUUCCGUGCUUGUUUGUGUUACAAAAAUCAAGUCAAAAACAGGCAACAAGCUGGAGAAGUGGAAACGUUCUGCUUCAAAGUCCAAAAAUUUCCUGUUUUCCCCUAUGAGAAAUCCAAAGAAGCAUCGGAGCAGCGCUGCUGGACACGUCCUUAACCCCGGUGCGCUCCACACUGCCUGCUGUGCCCUCCCCGAGUUCAUCAAAUCUGAUUUCUAUGCAUUCUUUACAACUCCGUGUCUGUUUUCAGGCUCUUGUGUGUGAAGUAGAGGAUGGCUGCGGCUCGCAUUGACAGGCACGGUGCGGCACAGCUUGGGGAUGCCAUGAGGACAAAACAGCGCUCCCACCUCGGCUCACGGGUUUGCAGAUGGAGGCGACUCGUGGUUCACAGCGACAAAACAUAAUCGGUUCGGUAAGAAAUGUACACAUUUAAAACAAGCAGAGUUUAAAAACUACAGGGAGGUUUCUGAACAAUUUCGUUUCUUCCCCUCCUUUCCCCAGUUAAUAAAAACAAAAACAAAACCCAGAGGUUUUCUGCGCUUGGGAGAGCGGAGCUAAUUCCAGCUGUAUCUGCCCGAGGGUGGGGGCAGCAGGUAGGGCCUCCCGGGGCCGUAUGCCUGCCUUCCCCGGUCCAUCCGAUCCUCAGGUCUCUGUGGGUAGCUCAUGGGCCCGCCCAGUCCCUGGUACUGGCCCGGUGGGUACUGACUUUGGGCUGGCAGCAUGCGGUUCCAGGCGAGCAGUGGGGCGGCCCCAGCAGUUCUUUGUGGUGCUUGCUGAAACAAGGGCGUAGGGCCUCGCCAAGACUCCUGGGGUCUAAGAUUUGACAGCAAUUUAGGAAUCUGCUGCUGCCCACUCAUAAGCGGCCGGGUGUAUGGGCUCCCAUAAG